UGGCUCAGGACGAACGCUGGCGGCGUGCUUAACACAUGCAAGUCGAACGGAAAGGCCCCUUCGGGGGUACUCGAGUGGCGAACGGGUGAGUAACACGUGGGUAAUCUGCCCUGCACUUCGGGAUAAGCCUGGGAAACUGGGUCUAAUACCGGAUAGGACCAUUUAGCGCAUGCUUUAUGGUGGAAAGCUUUUGCGGUGUGGGAUGGGCCCGCGGCCUAUCAGCUUGUUGGUGGGGUGACGGCCUACCAAGGCGACGACGGGUAGCCGGCCUGAGAGGGUGUCCGGCCACACUGGGACUGAGAUACGGCCCAGACUCCUACGGGAGGCAGCAGUGGGGAAUAUUGCACAAUGGGCGCAAGCCUGAUGCAGCGACGCCGCGUGGGGGAUGACGGCCUUCGGGUUGUAAACCUCUUUCAGCAGGGACGAAGCGCAAGUGACGGUACCUGCAGAAGAAGCACCGGCCAACUACGUGCCAGCAGCCGCGGUAAUACGUAGGGUGCGAGCGUUGUCCGGAAUUACUGGGCGUAAAGAGCUCGUAGGUGGUUUGUCGCGUUGUUCGUGAAAUCUCACGGCUUAACUGUGAGCGUGCGGGCGAUACGGGCAGACUGGAGUACUGCAGGGGAGACUGGAAUUCCUGGUGUAGCGGUGGAAUGCGCAGAUAUCAGGAGGAACACCGGUGGCGAAGGCGGGUCUCUGGGCAGUAACUGACGCUGAGGAGCGAAAGCGUGGGGAGCGAACAGGAUUAGAUACCCUGGUAGUCCACGCCGUAAACGGUGGGUACUAGGUGUGGGUUUCCUUCCUUGGGAUCCGUGCCGUAGCUAACGCAUUAAGUACCCCGCCUGGGGAGUACGGCCGCAAGGCUAAAACUCAAAGGAAUUGACGGGGGCCCGCACAAGCGGCGGAGCAUGUGGAUUAAUUCGAUGCAACGCGAAGAACCUUACCUGGGUUUGACAUGCACAGGACGCCGGCAGAGAUGUCGGUUCCCUUGUGGCCUGUGUGCAGGUGGUGCAUGGCUGUCGUCAGCUCGUGUCGUGAGAUGUUGGGUUAAGUCCCGCAACGAGCGCAACCCUUGUCUCAUGUUGCCAGCGCGUAAUGGCGGGGACUCGUGAGAGACUGCCGGGGUCAACUCGGAGGAAGGUGGGGAUGACGUCAAGUCAUCAUGCCCCUUAUGUCCAGGGCUUCACACAUGCUACAAUGGCCGGUACAAAGGGCUGCGAUGCCGUAAGGUUAAGCGAAUCCUUUUAAAGCCGGUCUCAGUUCGGAUCGGGGUCUGCAACUCGACCCCGUGAAGUCGGAGUCGCUAGUAAUCGCAGAUCAGCAACGCUGCGGUGAAUACGUUCCCGGGCCUUGUACACACCGCCCGUCACGUCAUGAAAGUCGGUAACACCCGAAGCCAGUGGCCUAACCCUUUGGGAGGGAGCUGUCGAAGGUGGGAUCGGCGAUUGGGACGAAGUCGUAACAAGGUAGCCGUACCGGAAGGUGCGGCUGGAUCACCUCCUUUCUAAGGAGCACCACGAAAAGCACCCCAACUGGUGGGGUGCGAGCCGUGAGGGGUUCCCGCCUGUAGUGGGCGGGGGCCGGGUGCGCAACAACAAAGCGAAAGCCAGACACACUAUUGGGUCCUGAGACAGCACUCGGGUUGUUUCGAGUGGUGUCCCUCCAUCUUGGUGGUGGGGUGUGGUGUUUGAGAACUGGAUAGUGGUUGCGAGCAUCUAAAUGGAUGCGCUGCCCUCGUGGCGGUGUGUCCAUUAAAUGUGUAAUUUUUCUUUGGUUUUUGUGUUU
Molecule: ribosomal RNA, 1782 nt
Filed under: Mycobacterium sp. FI-07156
Lineage: Bacteria; Bacillati; Actinomycetota; Actinomycetes; Mycobacteriales; Mycobacteriaceae
Description: bacterial SSU rRNA
Rfam family: Bacterial small subunit ribosomal RNA (bases 1-1501)
Source: RNAcentral